GACGAACGCUGGCGGCGUGCUUAACACAUGCAAGUCGAACGAUGAAGCCCUUCGGGGUGGAUUAGUGGCGAACGGGUGAGUAACACGUGGGCAAUCUGCCCUUCACUCUGGGACAAGCCCUGGAAACGGGGUCUAAUACCGGAUAACACUCCUCAGAGCAUUCUGGGGGGUUAAAAGCUCCGGCGGUGAAGGAUGAGCCCGCGGCCUAUCAGCUUGUUGGUGGGGUAAUGGCCUACCAAGGCGACGACGGGUAGCCGGCCUGAGAGGGCGACCGGCC
This 277-nucleotide ribosomal RNA is filed under the name uncultured bacterium. RNAcentral's name for it is "partial 16S ribosomal RNA". It matches the Rfam family "Bacterial small subunit ribosomal RNA", at positions 28 to 309 of the family's 1533-position model. The record is from RNAcentral.